GAUGAACGCUGGCGGCGUGCCUAAUACAUGCAAGUCGAGCGAACAGACGAGGAGCUUGCUCCUCUGACGUUAGCGGCGGACGGGUGAGUAACACGUGGAUAACCUACCUAUAAGACUGGGAUAACUUCGGGAAACCGGAGCUAAUACCGGAUAAUAUUUUGAACCGCAUGGUUCAAUAGUGAAAGACGGUUUUGCUGUCACUUAUAGAUGGAUCCGCGCCGCAUUAGCUAGUUGGUAAGGUAACGGCUUACCAAGGCAACGAUGCGUAGCUGACCUGAGAGGGUGAUCGGCCACACUGGAACUGAGACACGGUCCAGACUCCUACGGGAGGCAGCAGUAGGGAAUCUUCCGCAAUGGGCGAAAGCCUGACGGAGCAACGCCGCGUGAGUGAUGAAGGUCUUCGGAUCGUAAAACUCUGUUAUUAGGGAAGAACAAAUGUGUAAGUAACUAUGCACGUCUUGACGGUACCUAAUCAGAAAGCCACGGCUAACUACGUG
RNAcentral lists this ribosomal RNA (497 nucleotides) under uncultured bacterium. RNAcentral describes it as "partial 16S ribosomal RNA". It matches the Rfam family "Bacterial small subunit ribosomal RNA", at positions 28 to 507 of the family's 1533-position model. The record is from RNAcentral.